GUUUUUUAUACAGCUGAUUUUACUGUGUAAUUUUGAUCUUGAACUAUUGGCUUGAAAUAAAAUAUUUUACGGUAGAUGUUCAAUCAUUGAAGAUGAGUGAUUUGCCUCUCAUUUAGUUUUCUGCGGCAUUAAACGCGGUGCAUUUUACUUUGUCCGAAAAUGAUUGUAUCAAAGUUUGGAGUUUAAAAGCGCCACUCCACUGACUGAUAUCUGUAUCUCUGGAUCGUUUGAUCGGGAUGUUCCCAUUUUUGGCAUGAGGGCUCCUUGGGGGUUGGUGAAACGAGAUAAGCGGCAUUUUCCCUAGUGAUGCAUUCCACCCCAAGUUACACAGAGGCUGCCAGGCAUCCUGUUAAUGAGGAAAUUUUCAUUAAUGACAUGGAUCACUUGAUGAUGAACAGACACAAUCCUCUGUCCCCGCCUCCUCCAACACCAUCACCAACACCAUCACCAACCCCUCUGCUUAUGGACCUCCCCAUGAACGAUUCGCCUGAAAGUUUGAAAGAUACUCAAAAAGAAACUGAGGAAGAACAUGAGUGUCGGCAGAAAAUUCAAAAAAAACCAGAGCGAGAAAACAUUGUGUCUCUAGAAAAAGUUAUAGCAAAAGCGUGGGAACCCAUCCCUUUGGACAAUUGCAAUACGAAUCAGACUUUGGUAAAACGAAGAGUAUACAAGUUGGAUGCAAGUGAUUUGUCCAGUCCGAGAAAAAAGAAGAAUAGAGGAAAGACAGAUACAGAGUCAGAAACGUUUAUUGUGUCAGAAAUAUUCACAAAGGGUAAAUACUAUCUUAACAAAGGCCAUGGGUUCGAUCCAUGAGUUCUAGCGGAAUUCCCCGCGGUACAGAUGAAAAGACUGAAAGACGCUCCCAACAGGAAGAGAAAAAUAUUAGUAUUGUCACAAAAGGUUUGCUCUAUCACUCCAAGUAGAACACAAGCAGUUUUCGAUCAAGGUGUUAAUCCCUCUGCAUGUAUUCUACCUGUGUCUGCAGUUGUACCAUGUCUAAGUUUUUUCCUAUGUCGUCCACUUUUUGGAGGAGCCUCCAAGCUCAAUUUAGUUUGUCAUCAGAGGACUCUUGAAAUGCUGCUCCAAAACGUC
Bemisia tabaci is the source of this 1092-nucleotide non-coding RNA. The record is from RefSeq and is a predicted model, not a curated record. Lineage: Eukaryota; Metazoa; Arthropoda; Insecta; Hemiptera; Aleyrodidae.